GUUUCCUCCAUCCUCCCUUGGCAGAUGUGUGUAUCCGAUGCCUCUGCGUCGACCCUCAUCUCCUUUCUUCUCCUUUUGGUUGUGUGGGUGAGUUCCUCCUCUUCUGCACGGUGCAGAAUAAAGAGGGAUUAGAGAUUGGAUCGAUCGAUCGGUAUCGAAUGGGUGAGUCGGGUAUGGAUAGGCUUCCCGAGGGCUGCGUCGCCCACGCCAUCGCCCUCACCUCCCCCCGCGACGUCUGCCGCUUCUCCGCCGUCUCCUCCGCCUUCCGCUCCGCCGCCGCCUACGACACCGUCUGGGACCGCUUCCUCCCCUCCGAUUACCGCUCCAUCCUCUCCCGCGCCGUCCGCCC
Molecule: long non-coding RNA, 349 nt
Filed under: Musa acuminata (dwarf banana)
Lineage: Eukaryota; Viridiplantae; Streptophyta; Magnoliopsida; Zingiberales; Musaceae
Description: long non-coding RNA (MACU_LNC003675)
Source: RNAcentral